This 353-nucleotide unclassified non-coding RNA is filed under the name uncultured Psathyrellaceae. Its description in RNAcentral is "sequence contains ITS1". The stretch from base 1 to 105 matches the Rfam family "5.8S ribosomal RNA", at positions 50 to 154 of the family's 154-position model. Lineage: Eukaryota; Fungi; Basidiomycota; Agaricomycetes; Agaricales; Psathyrellaceae. The record is from RNAcentral.
GAAAUGCGAUAAGUAAUGUGAAUUGCAGAAUUCAGUGAAUCAUCGAAUCUUUGAACGCACCUUGCGCUCCUUGGUAUUCCGAGGAGCAUGCCUGUUUGAGUGUCAUUAAAUUCUCAACCUCACCAGUUUUGUAACGAGACAGGUGAAGGCUUGGAUGUGGGGGUUUUGCAGGCUGCCUCAGUGCUGGUCUGCUCUCCUGAAAUGCAUUAGCGAGCUCAUAUUGAGCUUCCGUCUAUUGGUGUGAUAAUUAUCUACGCCGUGGAUUGGACUCAUGCUUGCUUCUAACCGUCCGCAAGGACAAUUUACUUGACCAAUUUGACCUCAAAUCAGGUAGGACUACCCGCUGAACUUAA